UACAGAGGGUGCUAGCGUUGUUCGGAAUUACUGGGCGUAAAGGGCGUGUAGGCGGUUGCGUAAGUCAGAUGUUAAAGACCUGGGCUUAACCUAGGGGAUGCGUUUGAUACUGCGUGACUAGAGAGCAGGAGGGGAGAGUGGAAUUUCCGGUGUAGAGGUUAAAUUCGUAGAUAUCGGAAGGAACACCAGUGGCGAAGGCGACUCUCUGGACUGUGUCUGACGCUGAGGCGCGAAAGCGUGGGGAGCAAACAGG
RNAcentral lists this ribosomal RNA (253 nucleotides) under uncultured bacterium. RNAcentral describes it as "partial 16S ribosomal RNA". It matches the Rfam family "Bacterial small subunit ribosomal RNA", at positions 524 to 776 of the family's 1533-position model. The record is from RNAcentral.